RNAcentral lists this ribosomal RNA (496 nucleotides) under uncultured bacterium. Its description in RNAcentral is "partial 16S ribosomal RNA". It matches the Rfam family "Bacterial small subunit ribosomal RNA", at positions 28 to 506 of the family's 1533-position model. The record is from RNAcentral.
GAUGAACGCUGGCGGCGUGCCUAAUACAUGCAAGUCGAGCGAACAGACGAGGAGCUUGCUCCUCUGACGUUAGCGGCGGACGGGUGAGUAACACGUGGAUAACCUACCUAUAAGACUGGGAUAACUUCGGGAAACCGGAGCUAAUACCGGAUAAUAUAUUGAACCGCAUGGUUCAAUAGUGAAAGACGGUUUUGCUGUCACUUAUAGAUGGAUCCGCGCCGCAUUAGCUAGUUGGUAAGGUAACGGCUUACCAAGGCAACGAUGCGUAGCCGACCUGAGAGGUGGAUCGGCAACACUGGAAAUGAGACACGGUCCAGACCCCUACGGGAGGCAGCAGGAGGGAAUCUUCCGAAAGGGGCGAAAGCCUGACGGAGCAACGCCGCGGGAGUGAUGAAGGUCUUCGGAUCGUAAAACUCUUUUAUUAGGGAAAAAAAAAUGUGUAAGUAACUAUGCACUUUUGGACGGUACCAAAUCAAAAAGCCACGGCUAACUACGU